This 109-nucleotide non-coding RNA is filed under the name Streptococcus sp. DD10. RNAcentral describes it as "Streptococcus RNA 266". It matches the Rfam family "Streptococcus RNA 266". The record is from Rfam by way of RNAcentral. Lineage: Bacteria; Bacillati; Bacillota; Bacilli; Lactobacillales; Streptococcaceae.
AAUGAGUUGUUUCGUCGCUUUUUAUUAUAAGUUAUAUGGGCUUUUUUGUGAAAUCGAAAAGCUCUAUGAUAUCUGUGAUGGAGUUAUCAACUAUAGAUAUUAUAGAGCC